Papilio xuthus (Asian swallowtail) is the source of this 350-nucleotide long non-coding RNA. RefSeq lists it as uncharacterized. NCBI's taxonomy places the organism in Eukaryota, Metazoa, Arthropoda, Insecta, Lepidoptera, Papilionidae. The transcript is spliced from 3 exons. The record is from RefSeq and is a predicted model, not a curated record.
AAAAGGAUUUUCAAAUAAUUAUGUAUAAAAGAUGUGGUGUGUUGCGUUGUUUUUGGGAAUAAAAACUUAAGUGUUAAUAUAUUGGUAGUGAUAAGAGCUGUGACUGAAAACCGAAGCGUUGGAACAUUGCUCACGAGUUUACGGCUCGUUAAUUCUGCAGAUAGUGAAACCGAAAAGAGAUCUUUGCUGCGUCCGCUCAUCGAAGUGAUAAAAUUUAUGACGUACGAGUUAUGGUUACUACGGCAACAGAAACAAUAAGUGCCACAAUGAGAACAUGAUUCGGUGGCGAGCACGAGCGAAGCAUUUAUCGGGAUGAGCGGGCAGCGCGUGGGGCAGAGCGUGGGGCGGUG